GAUGAACGCUGGCGGCGUGCCUAAUACAUGCAAGUCGAGCGAACGGACGAGAAGCUUGCUUCUCUGAUGUUAGCGGCGGACGGGUGAGUAACACGUGGAUAACCUACCUAUAAGACUGGGAUAACUUCGGGAAACCGGAGCUAAUACCGGAUAAUAUUUUGAACCGCAUGGUUCAAAAGUGAAAGACGGUCUUACUGUCACUUAUAGAUGGAUCCGCGCUGCAUUAGCUAGUUGGUAAGGUAACGGCUUACCAAGGCAACGAUGCAUAGCCGACCUGAGAGGGUGAUCGGCCACACUGGAACUGAGACACGGUCCAGACUCCUACGGGAGGCAGCAGUAGGGAAUCUUCCGCAAUGGGCGAAAGCCUGACGGAGCAACGCCGCGUGAGUGAUGAAGGUCUUCGGAUCGUAAAACUCUGUUAUUAGGGAAGAACAUAUGUGUAAGUAACUGUGCACAUCUUGACGGUACCUAAUCAGAAAGCCACGGCUAACUACGUGCCAGCAGCCGCGGUAAUACGUAGGUGGCAAGCGUUAUCCGGAAUUAUUGGGCGUAAAGCGCGCGUAGGCGGUUUUUUAAGUCUGAUGUGAAAGCCCACGGCUCAACCGUGGAGGGUCAUUGGAAACUGGAAAACUUGAGUGCAGAAGAGGAAAGUGGAAUUCCAUGUGUAGCGGUGAAAUGCGCAGAGAUAUGGAGGAACACCAGUGGCGAAGGCGACUUUCUGGUCUGUAACUGACGCUGAUGUGCGAAAGCGUGGGGAUCAAACAGGAUUAGAUACCCUGGUAGUCCACGCCGUAAACGAUGAGUGCUAAGUGUUAGGGGGUUUCCGCCCCUUAGUGCUGCAGCUAACGCAUUAAGCACUCCGCCUGGGGAGUACGACCGCAAGGUUGAAACUCAAAGGAAUUGACGGGGACCCGCACAAGCGGUGGAGCAUGUGGUUUAAUUCGAAGCAACGCGAAGAACCUUACCAAAUCUUGACAUCCUUUGACAACUCUAGAGAUAGAGCUUUCCCCUUCGGGGGACAAAGUGACAGGUGGUGCAUGGUUGUCGUCAGCUCGUGUCGUGAGAUGUUGGGUUAAGUCCCGCAACGAGCGCAACCCUUAAGCUUAGUUGCCAUCAUUAAGUUGGGCACUCUAAGUUGACUGCCGGUGACAAACCGGAGGAAGGUGGGGAUGACGUCAAAUCAUCAUGCCCCUUAUGAUUUGGGCUACACACGUGCUACAAUGGACAAUACAAAGGGCAGCGAAACCGCGAGGUCAAGCAAAUCCCAUAAAGUUGUUCUCAGUUCGGAUUGUAGUCUGCAACUCGACUACAUGAAGCUGGAAUCGCUAGUAAUCGUAGAUCAGCAUGCUACGGUGAAUACGUUCCCGGGUCU
RNAcentral lists this ribosomal RNA (1372 nucleotides) under uncultured bacterium. RNAcentral describes it as "bacterial SSU rRNA". It matches the Rfam family "Bacterial small subunit ribosomal RNA", at positions 28 to 1381 of the family's 1533-position model. The record is from RNAcentral.